This 419-nucleotide ribosomal RNA is filed under the name bacterium. RNAcentral's name for it is "partial 16S ribosomal RNA". It matches the Rfam family "Bacterial small subunit ribosomal RNA", at positions 355 to 776 of the family's 1533-position model. The record is from RNAcentral.
UGGGGGAUAUUGCACAAUGGGCGAAAGCCUGAUGCAGCGACGCCGCGUGGGGGAUGAAGGCCUUCGGGUUGUAAACUUCUUUUGCUCUGAACAAGGCAUGGUAAUGGGUGUGUUGAGUGUAGGGGUUGAUUAGCGCCGGCUAACUACGUGCCAGCAGCCGCGGUAAUACGUAGGGCGCGAGCGUUGUCCGGAAUUAUUGGGCGUAAAGGGCUUGUAGGUGGCUGGUUGCGUCUGUCGUGAAAGCUCAUGGCUUAACUGUGGGUUUGCGGUGGGUACGGGCUGGCUUGAGUGCAGUAGGGGAGGCUGGAAUUCCUGGUGUAGCGGUGGAAUGCGCAGAUAUCAGGAGGAAUACCGGUGGCGAAGGCGGGUCUCUGGGCUGUUACUGACACUGAGGAGCGAAAGCAUGGGGAGCGAAGAGG